AUCCCAGCUACUGAGGAGGCUGAGGCAGGAGAAUCCCUUAAACCCAGGAGGCGGAGUUUGCAUGGAGCCGAGAUUGUGGUAUUGCACUCCAGCCUGGGCAACAAGAAUGAAACUGUCUCAAAAAAAAAAAA
This is a long non-coding RNA of Sapajus apella (tufted capuchin), 131 nucleotides long. RefSeq lists it as uncharacterized. The transcript is spliced from 2 exons. NCBI's taxonomy places the organism in Eukaryota, Metazoa, Chordata, Mammalia, Primates, Cebidae. The record is from RefSeq and is a predicted model, not a curated record.